GACCUGAUAGCACAAUGGUUAGUGCCUCUGCUCAACUUACUGAUGAAAACCAGGUGUAGCAGAUGAUCCCCGUUUGAUUCGGGGUCAGAUCA
Molecule: non-coding RNA, 92 nt
Organism: Mycena metata
Lineage: Eukaryota; Fungi; Basidiomycota; Agaricomycetes; Agaricales; Mycenaceae
Source: the annotation of a GenBank genome assembly